CUACGGGGGGCAGCAGGCGCGUAACCUUUACAAUGCACGAAAGUGUGAUAAGGGGAUCCCAAGUGCUUAACAAUGUUAGGCUUUUGCUAAGUGUAAAUAGCUUGGCGAAUAAGGGGUGGGUAAGACUGGUGCCAGCCGCCGCGGUAACACCAGCGCCCCAAGUGGCAAUCACGUUUAUUGGGCCUAAAGCGUUCGUAGCAGGUUUUGACAGUCCUUUGUGAAAUCGGCAAGCUUAACUUGUCGGCGUGCAGGGGAUACUGCAAGACUCGAGACCGGGAGAAGUCAGGAGUAUUUCUGGGGUAACGGUAAAAUGUGUUAAUCCCAGGAGGACUACCAAUGGCGAAGGCACCUGACCAGAACGGAUCUGACUGUGAGGAACGAAAGCUAGGGGAGCAAAACGGAUUAGAUACCCCGGUAGUC
RNAcentral lists this ribosomal RNA (420 nucleotides) under uncultured archaeon. RNAcentral describes it as "partial 16S ribosomal RNA". It matches the Rfam family "Archaeal small subunit ribosomal RNA", at positions 323 to 746 of the family's 1478-position model. The record is from RNAcentral.